UCCUUGUCCCUUUUCAUAUGA
RNAcentral lists this non-coding RNA (21 nucleotides) under Caenorhabditis elegans. Lineage: Eukaryota; Metazoa; Nematoda; Chromadorea; Rhabditida; Rhabditidae. The record is from RNAcentral.